RNAcentral lists this ribosomal RNA (301 nucleotides) under uncultured bacterium. RNAcentral's name for it is "partial 16S ribosomal RNA". It matches the Rfam family "Bacterial small subunit ribosomal RNA", at positions 509 to 807 of the family's 1533-position model. The record is from RNAcentral.
CAGUAGCCGCGGUAAUACGAAGGGUGCAAGCGUUACUCGGAAUUACUGGGCGUAAAGCGUGCGUAGGUGGUGGUUUAAGUCCGUUGUGAAAGCCCUGGGCUCAACCUGGGAAUUGCAGUGGAUACUGGAUCACUAGAGUGUGGUAGAGGAUAGUGGAAUUUCCGGUGUAGCAGUGAAAUGCGUAGAGAUCGGAAGGAACAUCUGCGGCGAAGGCGACUAUCUGGGCCAACACUGACACUGAGGCACGAAAGCGUGGGGAGCAAACAGGAUUAGAUACCCCUGUAGUCCCUGUCUCUUAUAC